CUACGGGCGGCAGCAGCUAGGAAUAAUCUACAAUGCACGAAAGUGUGAUAGUUUGAACCAGAGUGCCUUGCUUUUAGCAAGGCUUUUGGAAAAUUUAAAAUGUUUUCCGAAUAAGGACUGGGUAAGACGAGUGCCAGCCGCCGCGGUAAUACUCGCGGUCCAAGUCGCAGCCAUUUUUAUUGGGUCUAAAACAUCCGUAGCUUGCUUAAUAAGUUUCUUGUGAAAUCCUACAUCUCAAAUGUAGGGCGUGCAAGAAAUACUGUUGAGCUAGAGACUGGAAGACGUAAGAAGUAUGUUCGAAGUAGCGGUAAAAUGUGUUAAUCUCGAGCAGACUCUCAACAGCGAAGGCAUCUUACGAGGACAGUUCUGACAGUAAGGGAUGAAGGCUAGGGGCGCAAAACGGAUUAGAUACCCUAGUAGUC
Molecule: ribosomal RNA, 422 nt
Filed under: uncultured archaeon
Lineage: Archaea
Description: partial 16S ribosomal RNA
Rfam family: Archaeal small subunit ribosomal RNA
Source: RNAcentral